UGGGCAGUAUCUUAGUGAACUGCACCUUUUACAACCAAACCAACUUGAUCUGCCUUGAUCCAUUAUGUGACAGGGACAGAGGA
Non-coding RNA from Jeotgalibacillus malaysiensis, 83 nucleotides. NCBI's taxonomy places the organism in Bacteria, Bacillati, Bacillota, Bacilli, Caryophanales, Caryophanaceae. The record is from Rfam.